UAUUAUAUAUUAAAUAUUAAACCCUAUUCGAUAAACCUUACUAAGUUUUCUGUUUCAGGCCCCUGCAUACCCAGGUAUUCCAACUGGACUUGGCGGGUCAAUCCUCAAUCCGUCCAUACCGCUCGUGUACAACAUGGGAUCCGUCCAUGCUGGCAAAAUGAUCUUUAUAAGCAGUAUCCCUCAUCCUAAUCCCAGCAGGUUCACCGUAAACUUCGAGAGCGCACCGAACGGGCCGGACAUUGCCUUCCACUGCGACUUUCGGUUCAACUUCGGUGAGAACCAUAACGUGGUCGUUCGCAACACCAAGACGAGCAAUAGCUGGGGGAAAGAAAAGCGCUUAUCAGUUAUUUCCCCUUGGUUUCCAAUACCGUUUUCGAGAUGAUAUUCCUCGUGGAGAAUCAAGGCUAUAAGGUUGCAGUGAACAACAACCAUCUUCUUGAAUACAAACACAGGAUGCAACCACUGAGCAAGUUAACAUGGCUGAGAAUAGACGGUGACGUCAGAAUCACGCACGUGCGCUUUCAAUGAUAUCUUUAUAUCAUAGCAUUCAACUGAACAUCCAAAAUCUAUGGAAAACAUUUCAGUGAACUACUUAAAAUGUCGUUAUUAAGAAUGACUUUGAAAAAAGUUCAUUAUUGAAUGUAAUAUUUGUGUACCAUUAGUGUGUUUAAUAUAGACUUUUGUGUUUUAUUGAUAUACGAGUAGUUCAUCCGCAGAAUAUGUGAACUGUACGUUUAUUGUUUCGGAAGCGAUAGAGGUAAUCAUUUGUUUGGUUUGAUUUCUUUUGUUACAAAUGCCAACAGGAAAUGUUCUAGUUUUAAUGUAACGCCGAAUAUCGUGUUGUACAUAUUUAAUUUUUCAUUUGAACACACGUGCCUUUGUUACACUACCAAAACAUAUGAUCAUCAGAAUAUGGACGUCAAUGUUGGUAUGGCAUUUGUUCUCAAUAUAAAUUAUGCCACAUUAAACACGUUUUCUGUUUGCAAUAAGAGCAAUAUUUUUCACGCAAAUCAUAACCCGUUUCCUCUUAUACAUUAUUGCCAAUGAUUUAGAAUUUAGUGAUAAGGCUAACAUAAUUUCUUACUACGUUAUUUAUUAAACAUGACGCUGAUUCCUUUUGCACGUACAAUUCAUCAAAUAAGCAAUAGGUGCGCACACUUAGCGUAGUUUACAUAAAUUGCGUAUUCCGUUUCUCCGUUUUUUGUCGGACCAUGUUUCGGCGAUAAACGCAAUCUGAUUGGUUACUGUGAUUGACAGUUGGCGAUUAAUCAAUUCCGAACGGAAAUUCGACCUGAACAUGUAUGAUGCCAUAAGGCGGUUUCGCUUUUUCAUGCUUACGUUUUCAUUUUGCUCAUGUCAUAUAAACCAGCAUCUGAUCAAAUAAUCUCUACUUUCUGCAUUUCAUAUUAAACAUGUGACAGUAUUAAAACGACAUUAAAGUGGUCAUACGAUUGCUCAUAAAUAUCAUAAAACACGAAGUUGUAUUAUUCGGUGUAAACACAGUAUUUAAUUGAGUGGCAGUGGAAGCCUGUGCGUUUAGACUAGUCGUUGACCCAAAUUGCACUGUUUUUUUAACAGCGCUUUGAUGAGGACACACGUCACGUGUUGUUCUUUAAAUUGUUCAAAUGAAACUUCGUGUUUUUGACUACGAUUAUAAAACGGCUUUUAUACAACCAUGCAUAUUUCGUUUAUUCACAUACGUAUGAAUAAAACGAUCGCAUCUGUCUCGUUUUAAAGUUUGAGGAAUACGGCUUAAAAUCAAAAUGUUCGCCAGGACCACAUUUAUACUAUUUUGUAUUAGCUGAUAACAAUGGACGCAUAUAUCUUAUUUUCAAGAUAAUACCAUAUACUUGCGUCAUAUUUAUCAUCAUCUUACUACAAAAUAAGACAGCAAAGUGUAAAUAUAGAAUUCCAUUUUUUUCAAACGUGUGCGCGAUUCAUUCUUAUGUUUUUGUCAAAUAACGUUAGGCACGAUCGUAGCUGCCUGUCAAAAACGGAAAACACUUCCUACAAUAAUAGACUACAUGAUACUAGUAUAAUAACAAUAUCCAAAAGCAUAAAUUUUAUUAAGAAAAUAAAUACUUUUCGUAUUUCAGUCAAAAUUCCAUCCUUCACAGAAAUAACACUGUUUAAUGAGGACAAACGUUCUUUCAGUUACAUAUAUUCCUUAAAGUUGUGUUCACCCCUACUUGAAACGGAAGACUCGAGCGAUAGAAAAGCCACUGUCAAAAUAAUAUUUGCAUUAAUACAACAUAUAUAGCAAUACAGGUAAUUGUUUUUUAAAUAAUUAAAUAAAUGGCCGUAUACACUAUACAUUCAUUGUAGUCUAGCACAACGUGUACGUGUGUAUAAUUUAUAUUCCGCCACUUUUUCCAAGUAUAUUUACGGUAUUGAAAAUAUCUUCAAUAAGGCGAUAAAACUGUUGGCACAAUUAUUAUUUUCCUUUAUCAGUGUCCUGUUUCAAUUUUUGAUUAGCACUAAAAAAAUAAAAUAUAACAAAAUCUAUAUUAUAUGUGUUUAUUUUAAUAAUAAUUGUAGACACGGUUCGUUUUUCAAUAUGCAAGCCCAGUUUGAUAGUUAAAUCUUAUGUUUCGAAACAGAUUGGGCAUCUCAAAAUAAUCUAUAUUAAAUUAAAACAAGAUCAAUGUUUGUGAAACACAAUGCCCCCUAGUGCGCCGCUUUGAAGCCGCAUGACAGCUAUUUUAGAAAAAAAAUUACCCUUAACCUUGAAGGAUGACCUUGACCUUGACCUUUCAACACUAAAAAUUAGCAGCUCCAUGCGAUCUAUUUUCAAUAUUUCAAAACUUAUGACCAAUGUUUAAGUUUUGGGACAGACAGACAGACACACACAAUGACAGA
Dreissena polymorpha is the source of this 2859-nucleotide long non-coding RNA. RefSeq lists it as uncharacterized. Lineage: Eukaryota; Metazoa; Mollusca; Bivalvia; Myida; Dreissenidae. The transcript has 4 exons. The record is from RefSeq and is a predicted model, not a curated record.